GGGCAGCGGGACUGAGCUUGCUUCACUUGCCGGCGACCGGCGCACGGGUGAGUAACGCGUAUCCCACUUUCCGCUUACUCGGGGAUAGCCUUUCGAAAGAAAGAUUAAUACCCGAUGGUAUCUUAAGCACGCAUGAGAUUAAGAUUAAAGAUUUAUCGGUAAGCGAUGGGGAUGCGUUCCAUUAGGCAGUUGGCGGGGUAACGGCCCACCAAACCUACGAUGGAUAGGGGUUCUGAGAGGAAGGUCCCCCACAUUGGAACUGAGACACGGUCCAAACUCCUACGGGAGGCAGCAGUGAGGAAUAUUGGUCAAUGGGCGAGAGCCUGAACCAGCCAAGUAGCGUGAAGGAUGACGGCCCUACGGGUUGUAAACUUCUUUUGUGCGGGAAUAAAGGAGCCUACGUGUAGGCUUUUGCAUGUACCGUAACGAAUAAGCAUCGGCUAACUCCGUGCCAGCAGCCGCGGUAAUACGGAGGAUGCGAGCGUUAUCCGGAUUUAUUGGGUUUAAAGGGAGCGUAGACGGGUUUUUAAGUCAGCUGUGAAAGUUUGGGGCUCAACCUUAAAAUUGCAGUUGAAACUGGAGACCUUGAGUACGGUUGAGGCAGGCGGAAUUCGUGGUGUAGCGGUGAAAUGCUUAGAUAUCACGAAGAACUCCGAUUG
Molecule: ribosomal RNA, 659 nt
Filed under: uncultured Bacteroidales bacterium
Lineage: Bacteria; Pseudomonadati; Bacteroidota; Bacteroidia; Bacteroidales
Description: bacterial SSU rRNA
Rfam family: Bacterial small subunit ribosomal RNA
Source: RNAcentral